Molecule: ribosomal RNA, 440 nt
Filed under: uncultured bacterium
Lineage: Bacteria
Description: partial 16S ribosomal RNA
Rfam family: Bacterial small subunit ribosomal RNA
Source: RNAcentral
CCUACGGGUGGCAGCAGUGGGGAAUAUUGCACAAUGGGGGAAACCCUGAUGCAGCGACGCCGCGUGUGUGAAGAAGUAAUUCGUUAUGUAAAGCUCUAUCAGCAGGGAAGAAAAUGACGGUACCUGAGUAAUAAGCCCCUGCUAACUCCGUGCCAGCAGCCGCGGUAAUACGUAGGGGGCAAGCGUUAUCCGGCUUUACUGGGUGAAAAGGGAGCGUAGACGGCAGUGCAAGUCUGGAGGGAAAGGCGGGGGCUCAACCCCGGGACUGCUCUGGAAACUGUAAGGCUGGAGUGUAGGAGAGGGAAGUAGAAGUCCUGGGGUAGCGGUGAAAUGCGUAGAGAUUAGGAGGAAUACCAGUGGCGAAGGCGGCUUACUGGACUGUAACUGACGUUGAGGUGCGAAAGCGUGGGGAGCAAACAGGAUUAGAUACCCGGGUAGUC